CUGAAAUGUGUUUACACUAUAAAUAAAAAUCUAGUCCAAAGGUACAGUAGACCGAGGCCAGGCAUAGGCUCGUGGUGUAAACACGGCUCUAGUUAUCGACCGGAUUUUAAUAGGCACGCACAAAUAGGAUAGUGAUGUUUGUGUUGUUACUCUGAGUAUAUAUAUCCACACUGGGCAAGCUCAAAAAAUAUGCCUGGCCACGGUGGCUAUCGAACCUCCAACCUUUGGAAUACUAGCCCAAUGCUCUGCCAACAGAGCUACGCGGUCAGGUCGGUUCGAGUAUGUGAUAUUUCGGAACUGAGUCUAGCUCUUUUGAUAUCGAUGUAAUCUAGCUAGUAAUGAUUUUUUUCUAUAAGCUUGCCCCGUGUGGAUAUACACUCAGAGUAACAUCACAAGCAUCCAGACAUAUACACCUGAGUACAUUGUAC
Paramuricea clavata is the source of this 428-nucleotide non-coding RNA. The record is from the annotation of a GenBank genome assembly. NCBI's taxonomy places the organism in Eukaryota, Metazoa, Cnidaria, Anthozoa, Malacalcyonacea, Plexauridae.